Long non-coding RNA from Ailuropoda melanoleuca (giant panda), 1624 nucleotides. RefSeq lists it as uncharacterized. The transcript is spliced from 3 exons. The record is from RefSeq and is a predicted model, not a curated record. Lineage: Eukaryota; Metazoa; Chordata; Mammalia; Carnivora; Ursidae.
UGCAGGGCUCCUCAGCGUGCUGGGCACAUUUGCGGACUGGAAGACGUCAAGACAAGCCGGACGGUCUCCUGUUCGAUGGUUCUGCUGCCCUCCUUUUAGGUGAAAACUACAGCAGGAGUUGAAGAAACCACAGGAUUGCAUCUCGCUGCUGGAAGGGCCACCGAAGGUGUGCCACGGACCCUCUCGCCUCCACUCUGCCUUCGGGGACAUCACACAGGAAGUGCGAAAUCGGCCGCAGUGAGAAUAUUUAUCCUGGAGAAAUCAACAGACACUGGAAAUCAGGACUUCUUCUUCCGUCCAGAGGGACCGUUGUUGAACAUUCAGCCAAGACACUCUGCGAUCUAGACCCUUAUGCUUCACCCCUACUCCACAGUCAGGAGACCCCCCUUCCCUCUCCACCCUAAACCAGGUGCCUCCCAUGGAGAAACAGAGUCAGAGUCUGGGCUCCGAGGCCUCAGGCAGAGCAGCUGGUGGUGAGAGGCAAAGGCUAGAAUUGGGACAAUUAAGCAAAAGUCAUGUGGCCAGUCUUCAUUACAGACCCGGAGCCCCAGGGCCCAGGACAGCAGCCUGAAGGUUCAGGUCAAGUGCUGAGUAGCCAAGGACUCAGACCAGGCUGGGAGCCUAUCAAAAGGAAAGACAAAGCCCUGGCCGUCUCUGACAUUUUAAAGACAAGCACAGUGCCUGGCACACAGUGGGCCCUGCGCAGAGCUCAUCGGAUCCGUGAUUGAAUGAACAAGGGCACAGAUGGGUGAAUACGUGAACAGAAGCAAGUGUGGAAUAAAUUGCAGAGAAAGACAUCCAUCGGUUGCACAGCUGGGCCACUGACGACUUCUCAUUUACACUUCAGGCUCCGCACGAAAUUCAAAUUCUCAUUACAGGACCGCAUAAAACACAAUCCGCACUUUCAACAACGACCCUGAGAAAUGCAGUGGCUGGAAAACCUUUAAUGCGUUUUUCCUAUUGAUUACAGCGCUGCAAAAGGGAAUGAAAAGAUUUAGCUUCAAACACUUUCAUGUGAAAGGCUAAAAGGAAGCAAAUCCAGCAUGGUAUAGCGGAGCCCGGGGCUCUUUCAGACGUGCGGCGGCCACCGACACGUCGUGUUUGCGGCUCGCCCCAUGAUAUGUUGCCGUGCCAACGUACAUUCUGAGUCAUCCAAGCAGAUUUAAUGCCAUUGCCACAAUGACGUUCUCUCUGCUGUUUCUUCUAAAACUUGUUAAAGGGAAGAUUCCGACCUACCUAGGAAAUGAUUUUAAUCAGUUUAGUUCAGGAAAUAGCUAUGGAAAUUCAGACUUCUCCAUUCUGUGGCUUCGGCACGUUACCUUGUGACAAACGGCUGAUGAUCACCGCGUGUCCCCAACACGUCGGGAGACAUGACGUGAUUGGCAGCCGUCCUGACUCCCACAUGGAAAGGUCUGAGGAAAUAAGCAUAUGAAAAGCCAAAAAACUGAAGCUUUUGAAAAAUAAGAAAAACGCCAAAAUUGCCCAUCACUCUUCUCAUACCAUAAGAUGACCAUCCCCUCCUUCGGUAAGAAUCCGCCCUGGUGGCCAUUUCUCUCAGUCCUUGCCAAGCAUGGCCCUGGGGCAUCUAGACAGAGGCCACGUGUACCGUGUCAUGCGGCCAUAC